CGCGUGAGAAUCUGCCCUGAAGAGGGGGAGUAACCUCUCUCAUGUAGAGAACUAAUACCCACUAUGCGCUUAGUCGUUAAAAGGGAAACCGCUUCAGGAUGAGCUCGCGUCUGAUUAGCUAGUUGGUGGGGUAAAGGCUUACCAAGGCGACGAUCAGUAGCUGGUCUGAGAGGAUGAUCAGCCACACUGGGAACUGAGAACGGUCCAGACUCCUACGGGAGGCAGCAGUGGGGAAUUUUCCGCAAUGGGCGCAAGCCUGACGGAGCAAUGCCACGUGGAGGAUGAAGGCCCGUGGGUCGU
RNAcentral lists this ribosomal RNA (300 nucleotides) under uncultured bacterium. RNAcentral describes it as "bacterial SSU rRNA". It matches the Rfam family "Bacterial small subunit ribosomal RNA", at positions 114 to 426 of the family's 1533-position model. The record is from RNAcentral.